Ornithorhynchus anatinus (platypus) is the source of this 107-nucleotide non-coding RNA. Lineage: Eukaryota; Metazoa; Chordata; Mammalia; Monotremata; Ornithorhynchidae. The record is from RefSeq and is marked provisional.
UGAUGAAAGCACUACUAAGAACUAGAUUCAGAUGCAAGAGAAUUUUCAGUUGUCAGUUUGGGUUGACUGAAAACUCAUUUUGCAUGCAGAAUCCAGUUUGAAUAUCA